Molecule: transfer RNA, 67 nt
Filed under: Achillea millefolium
Lineage: Eukaryota; Viridiplantae; Streptophyta; Magnoliopsida; Asterales; Asteraceae
Also listed under: 1 other name
Description: tRNA-Leu
Source: RNAcentral
AAAUUUAUAGUAAUAGGAAAAUCCGUCGAUUUCAAAAAUCAUGAGGGUUCAAGUCCCUCUAUCCCCA